This 279-nucleotide ribosomal RNA is filed under the name uncultured bacterium. RNAcentral's name for it is "partial 16S ribosomal RNA". It matches the Rfam family "Bacterial small subunit ribosomal RNA", at positions 506 to 784 of the family's 1533-position model. The record is from RNAcentral.
UGCCAGCCGCCGCGGUAAUACGGAGGGGGUUAGCGUUGUUCGGAAUUACUGGGCUUAAAGGGCGCGUAGGCGGCGCGGUACGGUUCGGGUGAAAUCCCUCGGCUCAACCGAGGAACUGCCCGGGCUACGGCCGCGCUUGACAGCAUCAGGGGAAGGUGGAACUCCAGGUGGAGCGGUGAAAUGUGUAGAUAUCUGGAGGAACGCCGGUGGCGAAAGCGACCUUCUGGGGUGCUUGUGACGCUGAGGCGCGAAAGCUAGGGGAGCGAACGGGAUUAGAUA